This is a non-coding RNA of Sphingomonas sanxanigenens, 135 nucleotides long. The record is from Rfam. Lineage: Bacteria; Pseudomonadati; Pseudomonadota; Alphaproteobacteria; Sphingomonadales; Sphingomonadaceae.
CAGUGGGUGAAAGCCCCACCCGGCAACAUGCUCCAGCCGGAAGCAACCGGGGCAGGCAUGGAGGUGACGAAAUGUCUGAAGCCCCCGGAUGACGGUCACAUAGGUGACCGUGCGAGUGUGCAGGCCGCAACGUGA